AGCUCACUAGUCGAGUGACACUGCGCCGAAAAUGUACCGGGGCUAAACAUAUUACCGAAGCUGUGGAUUGUCCUUUGGACAAUGGUAGGAGAGCGUUCUAAGGGCGUUGAAGCAUGAUCGUAAGGACAUGUGGAGCGCUUAGAAGUGAGAAUGCCGGUGUGAGUAGCGAAAGACGGGUGAGAAUCCCGUCCACCGAUUGACUAAGGUUUCCAGAGGAAGGCUCGUCCGCUCUGGGUUAGUCGGGUCCUAAGCUGAGGCCGACAGGCGUAGGCGAUGGAUAACAGGUUGAUAUUCCUGUACCACCUAUAAUCGUUUUAAUCGAUGGGGGGACGCAGUAGGAUAGGCGAAGCGUGCGAUUGGAUUGCACGUCUAAGCAGUAAGGCUGAGUAUUAGGCAAAUCCGGUACUCAUUAAGGCUGAGCUGUGAUGGGGAGAAGACAUUGUGUCUUCGAGUCGUUGAUUUCACACUGCCGAGAAAAGCCUCUAGAUAGAAAAUAGGUGCCCGUACCGCAAACCGACACAGGUAGUCAAGAUGAGAAUUCUAAGGUGAGCGAGCGAACUCUCGUUAAGGAACUCGGCAAAAUGACCCCGUAACUUCGGGAGAAGGGGUGCUCUUUAGGGUUAACGCCCAGAAGAGCCGCAGUGAAUAGGCCCAAGCGACUGUUUAUCAAAAACACAGGUCUCUGCUAAACCGUAAGGUGAUGUAUAGGGGCUGACGCCUGCCCGGUGCUGGAAGGUUAAGAGGAGUGGUUA
Molecule: ribosomal RNA, 752 nt
Filed under: Staphylococcus aureus
Lineage: Bacteria; Bacillati; Bacillota; Bacilli; Caryophanales; Staphylococcaceae
Description: partial 23S ribosomal RNA
Rfam family: Bacterial large subunit ribosomal RNA
Source: RNAcentral